GAUUAACGCUGGCGGCGUGCAUAACACAUGCAAGUCGAACGAUGAAACUUUUUUGAUUUCUUCGGAAUGAAAAAAAGUGGAUUAGUGGCGGACGAGUGAGUAACGCGUGAGUAACCUGCCUUAGAGAAGGGGAUAGCCUUUGGAAACGAAGAAUAAUACCCUAUGAAACCAUAACCUCGCAUGAGGCCUUGGUCAAAGAUUUAUCGCUCUAAGAUGGACUUGCGUCUGAUUAGUUAGUUGGUGGGGUAACGGCCUACCAAGACAGCGAUCAGUAGCCGGCUUGAGAGAGUGUACGGCCACAUUGGGACUGAGACACGGCCCAGACUCCUACGGGAGGCAGCAGUGGGGAAUUUUGCACAAUGGGGGAAACCCUGAUGCAGCGACGCCGCGUGAUUUAGAAGGCCUUCGGGUUGUAAAAAUCUUUUCUAUGGGAAGAAAAUGACAGUACCAUAGGAAUAAGGACCGGCUAAUUACGUGCCAGCAGCCGCGGUAAUACGUAAGGUCCGAGCGUUGUCCGGAAUCAUUGGGCGUAAAGGGUACGUAGGCGGGUAAGCAAGUUAGAAGUGAAAUCCUAUAGCUCAACUAUAGUAAGCUUUUAAAACUGCUCAUCUUGAGGUAUGGAAGGGAAAGUGGAAUUCCUAGUGUAGCGGUGAAAUGCGCAGAUAUUAGGAGGAAUACCGGUGGCGAAGGCGACUUUCUGGCCAUAACCUGACGCUGAGGUACGAAAGCGUGGGUAGCAAACAGG
RNAcentral lists this ribosomal RNA (745 nucleotides) under uncultured Anaerococcus sp. RNAcentral's name for it is "bacterial SSU rRNA". It matches the Rfam family "Bacterial small subunit ribosomal RNA", at positions 28 to 776 of the family's 1533-position model. Lineage: Bacteria; Bacillati; Bacillota; Tissierellia; Tissierellales; Peptoniphilaceae. The record is from RNAcentral.